CCUGGCGGCAUGCCUAUCAUGCAAGUCGAACGCUUUGAUUUCACCGGGUGCUUGCACCCACCGAAGUCAAAGAGUGGCGGACGGGUGAGUAACACGUGGGUAACCUGCCCAUAAGAGGGGGAUAACAUUCGGAAACGGAUGCUAAUACCGCAUACUUCUAAUCGCCUCCUGGCGAAUGGAAAAAAGGUGGCUUCGGCUACCGCUUAUGGAUGGACCCGCGGCGUAUUAGCUAGUUGGUGAGGUAAUGGCUCACCAAGGCGAUGAUACGUAGCCGACCUGAGAGGGUGAUCGGCCACACUGGGACUGAGACACGGCCCAGACUCCUACGGGAGGCAGCAGUAGGGAAUCUUCCGCAAUGGACGAAAGUCUGACGGAGCAAUGCCGCGUGAGUGAAGAAGGUUUUCGGAUCGUAAAACUCUGUUGUUAGAGAAGAACAAGGAUGAGAGUAACUGCUCAUCCCCUGACGGUAUCUAACCAGAAAGCCACGGCUAACUACGUGCCAGCAGCCGCGGUAAU
Molecule: ribosomal RNA, 516 nt
Filed under: uncultured bacterium
Lineage: Bacteria
Description: bacterial SSU rRNA
Rfam family: Bacterial small subunit ribosomal RNA
Source: RNAcentral